Molecule: ribosomal RNA, 406 nt
Filed under: uncultured bacterium
Lineage: Bacteria
Description: partial 16S ribosomal RNA
Rfam family: Bacterial small subunit ribosomal RNA
Source: RNAcentral
AUUGAACGCUGGCGGUAGGCCUAACACAUGCAAGUCGAGCGAGCGGCGGACGGGUGAGUAAUGUCUGGGAAACUGCCUGAUGGAGGGGGAUAACUACUGGAAACGGUAGCUAAUACCGCAUACCCUCAGAUGUUCCCAGAUGGGAUUAGCGCGUGGGUGGGGUAACGGCUCACCUAGGCGCCGAUCCCUCGCUGGUCUGAGAGGAUGACCAGCAAAACUGGAACUGAGACACGGCCCAGACUCCUACGGGAGGCAGAAGUGGGGAAUAUUGGACAAUGGGCGCAAGCCGGAUGAAGCCAUGCCGCGGGUGUGAAGAAGGCCUUCGGGUGGUAAAGCACUUUCAGCGGGGAGGCGGUACCCGCAGAAGAAGCACCGGCUAACUCCGUGCCAGCAGCCGCGGUAAUUC